This 496-nucleotide ribosomal RNA is filed under the name uncultured beta proteobacterium. Its description in RNAcentral is "bacterial SSU rRNA". It matches the Rfam family "Bacterial small subunit ribosomal RNA", at positions 9 to 526 of the family's 1533-position model. The record is from RNAcentral. Lineage: Bacteria; Pseudomonadati; Pseudomonadota; Betaproteobacteria.
GAGUUUGAUCUUGGCUCAGAUUGAACGCUGGCGGAAUGCUUUACACAUGCAAGUCGAGCGGCAGCGCGGGGCAACCUGGCGGCGAGCGGCGAACGGGUGAGUAAUGCAUCGGAACAUGUCCUGUCGUGGGGGAUAGCCCGGCGAAAGCCGGAUUAAUACCGCAUACAUCCGAGAGGAGAAAGUGGGGGACCGCAAGGCCUCACGCGAUUGGGUUGGCCGAUGUCCGAUUAGCUAGUUGGUGAGGUAAUGGCUCACCAAGGCGACGAUCAGUAGCUGGUCUGAGAGGAUGAUCAGCCACAUUGGGACUGAGACACGGCCCAAACUCCUACGGGAGGCAGCAGUGGGGAAUAUUGGACAAUGGGCGCAAGCCUGAUCCAGCCAUGCCGCGUGAGUGAUGAAGGCCUUAGGGUUGUAAAGCUCUUUCGUCCGGGACGAUAAUGACGGUACCGGAAGAAGAAGCCCCGGCUAACUUCGUGCCAGCAGCCGCCGCAGUAAC